Molecule: long non-coding RNA, 565 nt
Organism: Arachis duranensis
Lineage: Eukaryota; Viridiplantae; Streptophyta; Magnoliopsida; Fabales; Fabaceae
Exons: 2
Source: RefSeq, a predicted model, not a curated record
AAAUCAAAAAGAAGACACAUGGCUAGAAAUGGUGGUGUGGCCUAUAAACAAAUAACACGUUUCUUCAUUAUUAUUGGAUUUGUUAUUUGUGCUAUCAUUGUUGAAUCGCAUGACAGUAUUCCAGAAUGGUCUUCAGCUCAAUACGAUGGUCUUGAACAUCAGGAAUAUAAGCUGAAAAGUUGUCUUCAAACAUGCAAGAGCCGCUAUAGAAAUAAUCCGGAAGCGAAGGAGGAUUGCAUUAAGAAAUGCAAAGCUAAGUAUAGUCCUCCGGUGGAAAGUUAUAACAAUGGCAUGUAAGAAUUGAAAUUUAAAUAAAUCUUUAAUUUCAAUACAUAGAAGAAGAUUUGAGCACCUCAUCGAUCAGACCAGAAAAUGAUUCACAUUGCAAUACGGGAUGUUUAAAUACUUUGUUAAUUAUAUUUGUUACGGCCUUUCUUAUUAUUUCAGUUAUCCUUGUGGUUUAAUAGUUAAAUUUCGCUACAAGGUAAUAGUUGCCAUUAGGCUACAAUCAAAUGUAAUAAAUUGUGAAGUGAAAUUAUUGCUGCCGAAAUUUCUUUUACAUGCU